This 495-nucleotide ribosomal RNA is filed under the name uncultured bacterium. RNAcentral describes it as "partial 16S ribosomal RNA". It matches the Rfam family "Bacterial small subunit ribosomal RNA", at positions 28 to 507 of the family's 1533-position model. The record is from RNAcentral.
GAUGAACGCUGGCGGCGUGCCUAAUACAUGCAAGUAGAACGCUGAAGGAGGAGCUUGCUCUUCUGGAUGAGUUGCGAACGGGUGAGUAACGCGUAGGUAACCUGCCUGGUAGCGGGGGAUAACUAUUGGAAACGAUAGCUAAUACCGCAUGACAACAGUUAUUGCAUGAUAACUGUUUAAAAGGGGCAACUGCUCCACUACCAGAUGGACCUGCGUUGUAUUAGCUAGUUGGUGAGGUAACGGCUCACCAAGGCGACGAUACAUAGCCGACCUGAGAGGGUGAUAGGCCAAACUGGGACUGAGACACGGCCCAGACUCCUACGGGAGGAAGCAGUAGGGAAUCUUCGGCAAUGGACGGAAGUCUGACCGAGCAACGCCGCGUGAGUGAAGAAGGUUUUCGGAUCGUAAAGCUCUGUUGUAAGAGAAGAACGAGUGUGAGAGUGGAAAGUUCACACUGUGACGGUAUCUUACCAGAAAGGGACGGCUAACUACGUG